This 73-nucleotide transfer RNA is filed under the name Diaphorina citri (Asian citrus psyllid). It matches the Rfam family "tRNA". From Rfam's summary of the family: Transfer RNA (tRNA) molecules are approximately 80 nucleotides in length. Lineage: Eukaryota; Metazoa; Arthropoda; Insecta; Hemiptera; Psyllidae. The record is from Rfam by way of RNAcentral.
GCCUAGUUAGCUUAGUUGGUAGCGCGUCUGCCUUCUAAGCGCUAGGCCGCGGGUUCGAUUCCCGCCCGGGGUG